This 440-nucleotide ribosomal RNA is filed under the name uncultured bacterium. RNAcentral's name for it is "partial 16S ribosomal RNA". It matches the Rfam family "Bacterial small subunit ribosomal RNA", at positions 338 to 795 of the family's 1533-position model. The record is from RNAcentral.
CCUACGUGAGGCAGCAGUGGGGAAUAUUGCACAAUGGGGGAAACCCUGAUGCAGCGACGCCGCGUGAGCGAUGAAGUAUUUCGGUAUGUACAGCUCUAUCAGCAGGGAAGAAAAUGACGGUACCUGACUCAGAAGCCCCGGCUAACUACGUGCCAGCAGCCGCGGGAAUACGUAGGGGGCAAGCGUUAUCCGGAUUUACUGGGUGUAAGGGGAGCGUAGACGGCUGUGCAAGCCAGAUGUGAAAGCCCGGGUCUCAACCCCGGGACUGCAUUUGGAACUGUGUGGCUGGAGUGUCGGAGAGGCAGGCGGAAUGCCUAGUGUAGCGGUGAAAUGCGGAGAUAUUAGGAGGAACACCAGUGGCGAAGGCGGCCUGCUGGACGAUGACUGACGUUGAGGCUCGAAAGCGUGGGGAGCAAACAGGAUUAGAUACCCCUGUAGUC